AUAACGGUGUCUUUAGACACCACCUUUUGUCUUCAAAAUCUUAUUU
Molecule: non-coding RNA, 46 nt
Organism: Picea glauca (white spruce)
Lineage: Eukaryota; Viridiplantae; Streptophyta; Pinopsida; Pinales; Pinaceae
Source: Rfam